This 254-nucleotide ribosomal RNA is filed under the name uncultured bacterium. Its description in RNAcentral is "partial 16S ribosomal RNA". It matches the Rfam family "Bacterial small subunit ribosomal RNA", at positions 524 to 771 of the family's 1533-position model. The record is from RNAcentral.
UACGUAGGGCGCAAGCGUUGUCCGGAAUUAUUGGGCGUAAAGAGCUCGUAGGCGGUUUGUCGCGUCUGCUGUGAAAGCCCGGGGCUCAACCCCGGGUCUGCAGUGGGUACGGGCAGACUAGAGUGCAGUAGGGGAGACUGGAAUUCCAUGGUGUAGGCGGUGAAAAUGGCGCAGAUAUCAAGGAGGACACCGAUGGCGAAGGCAGGUCUCUGGGCUGAUUACUGACGCUGGAGGAGCGAAAGCAUGGGGAGCGA